RNAcentral lists this transfer RNA (72 nucleotides) under Dipodomys ordii (Ord's kangaroo rat). It matches the Rfam family "tRNA". Rfam says of the family: Transfer RNA (tRNA) molecules are approximately 80 nucleotides in length. Their secondary structure includes four short double-helical elements and three loops (D, anti-codon, and T loops). Lineage: Eukaryota; Metazoa; Chordata; Mammalia; Rodentia; Heteromyidae. The record is from Rfam by way of RNAcentral.
GGGAAGAUGGCUCAGUGGUAGAGCACUUGCCUUGCAUGCAUGAGGCCCUGGGUUUGAUUCCUCAGCACCCCA